UACGGAGGGUGCAAGCGUUAAUCGGAAUUACUGGGCGUAAAGCGCGCGUAGGUGGCUUGAUAAGCCGGUUGUGAAAGCCCCGGGCUCAACCUGGGAACGGCAUCCGGAACUGUCAGGCUAGAGUGCAGGAGAGGAAGGUAGAAUUCCCGGUGUAGCGGUGAAAUGCGUAGAUAUAUGGAGGAACACCAGUGGCGAGGGCGGCCUUCUGGACUGACACUGACACUGAGGUGCGAAAGCGUGGGUAGCAAACAGG
This 253-nucleotide unclassified non-coding RNA is filed under the name uncultured Halomonadaceae bacterium. RNAcentral's name for it is "contains 16S-23S intergenic spacer region". It matches the Rfam family "Bacterial small subunit ribosomal RNA", at positions 524 to 776 of the family's 1533-position model. Lineage: Bacteria; Pseudomonadati; Pseudomonadota; Gammaproteobacteria; Oceanospirillales; Halomonadaceae. The record is from RNAcentral.